RNAcentral lists this long non-coding RNA (231 nucleotides) under Nicotiana benthamiana. RNAcentral's name for it is "long non-coding RNA (NBEN_LNC021540)". The record is from RNAcentral. Lineage: Eukaryota; Viridiplantae; Streptophyta; Magnoliopsida; Solanales; Solanaceae.
ACUUAUGUAACCUUAGUUAGCCCAUCAUAAACUAAGGUUACCCUUUUGGGUAUCUACACAUUAGUCCUACACUUUAGUAUGACAAUACAUUGGCCCCUUAACAUAAUGUUUAUAAGACCACAUAAUUAGGCCAAACCAAAAGAUAGCACAUAACAUAUAAUAAUCCAUAUAUUGUUCAUAUGUGUGUAGAUAUAAGUCCAUAUAUCUAGAUAUAAAUCCAUAUAUCUUACA